Molecule: long non-coding RNA, 366 nt
Organism: Erpetoichthys calabaricus (reedfish)
Lineage: Eukaryota; Metazoa; Chordata; Cladistia; Polypteriformes; Polypteridae
Exons: 2
Source: RefSeq, a predicted model, not a curated record
UUGUGACGUGUCUUGCCAUUGCAUGGGCUGUAAGGAGUGGAAGCAGUAUUGGGGUGGAGUCUUGGGGGAACACUUUUUGUAAGGGCUUGGGGCACCUCCCUAGAGAGAGAGAGAGUUGAGUGACAGGGAUCCAGGUUAAUUAACGGUGUGUGAAGAAAAUGGGAGGUGGUGGCCAGAAGUGGUAGUUGUUGCUGGAGCAAAAGGAAGACAGCACCAAAUGGUGAAGGGAACGAACAGUUAAAGAGGUAGAUAGGACGAAGGUGAAUUAUCUUUGUUAUUUUGGAGGUGUCCCCGUGACCCAGACAACAGGCGGCGGUAGGGCACCGUUUAUAUCGUGGCAUAUUCUAUAAAAAGCCGGUCAGCAUU